Molecule: ribosomal RNA, 633 nt
Filed under: uncultured soil bacterium
Lineage: Bacteria
Description: bacterial SSU rRNA
Rfam family: Bacterial small subunit ribosomal RNA
Source: RNAcentral
UUAACACAUGCAAGUCGAGCGCCUCGCAAGAGGAGCGGCAGACGGGUGAGUAACGCGUGGGAAUCUACCCAUCUCUACGGAACAACUCCGGGAAACUGGAGCUAAUACCGUAUACGUCCUUCGGGAGAAAGAUUUAUCGGAGAUGGAUGAGCCCGCGUUGGAUUAGCUAGUUGGUGGGGUAAUGGCCUACCAAGGCGACGAUCCAUAGCUGGUCUGAGAGGAUGAUCAGCCACACUGGGACUGAGACACGGCCCAGACUCCUACGGGAGGCAGCAGUGGGGAAUAUUGGACAAUGGGCGCAAGCCUGAUCCAGCCAUGCCGCGUGAGUGAUGAAGGCCCUAGGGUUGUAAAGCUCUUUCAACGGUGAAGAUAAUGACGGUAACCGUAGAAGAAGCCCCGGCUAACUUCGUGCCAGCAGCCGCGGUAAUACGAAGGGGGCUAGCGUUGUUCGGAAUUACUGGGCGUAAAGCGCACGUAGGCGGAUUGUUAAGUUAGGGGUGAAAUCCCAGGGCUCAACCCUGGAACUGCCUUUAAUACUGGCAAUCUCGAGUCCGAGAGAGGUGAGUGGAAUUCCGAGUGUAGAGGUGAAAUUCGUAGAUAUUCGGAGGAACACCAGUGGCGAAGGCGGCUCAC